UGGGGUAUAUUGCACAAUGGGCGAAAGCCUGAUGCAGCGACGCCGCGUGGGGGAGGAAGGCCUUCGGGUUGUAAACUUCUUUUGCUCUGAACAAGGCGCACCAUGGGGUGUGUUGAGUGUAGGGGUUGAUUAGCGCCGGCUAACUACGUGCCAGCAGCCGCGGUAAUACGUAGGGCGCGAGCGUUGUCCGGAAUUAUUGGGCGUAAAGGGCUUGUAGGUGGCUGGUUGCGUCUGUCGUGAAAGCUCAUGGCUUAACUGUGGGUUUGCGGUGGGUACGGGCUGGCUUGAGUGCAGUAGGGGAGGCUGGAAUUCCUGGUGUAGCGGUGGAAUGCGCAGAUAUCAGGGGGGAUACCGGUGGCGAAGGCGGGUCUCUGGGCUGUUACUGACACUGAGGAGCGAAAGCAUGGGGAGCGAACAGG
RNAcentral lists this ribosomal RNA (419 nucleotides) under bacterium. RNAcentral describes it as "partial 16S ribosomal RNA". It matches the Rfam family "Bacterial small subunit ribosomal RNA", at positions 355 to 776 of the family's 1533-position model. The record is from RNAcentral.